This is a long non-coding RNA of Selaginella moellendorffii, 375 nucleotides long. RefSeq lists it as uncharacterized. The transcript has 2 exons. NCBI's taxonomy places the organism in Eukaryota, Viridiplantae, Streptophyta, Lycopodiopsida, Selaginellales, Selaginellaceae. The record is from RefSeq and is a predicted model, not a curated record.
UACCUUGGCUUUAGGAUUCUCCGAGGUGACAAGCACGGUGGAAGACUCGGGUUCUUCGAAGAAGGGAAGUUACAGGGGAAGAAUGGAGCUGGGACUUAAAGGCAGGGGAUGCGAAGCCAGUGUAGCGUUCCAUCCUGACAAGCACAGCAAUGGCGACUCACGUCUGCGCUGCGUUGUGUUCUGCCUGAUCUCUACGCAAAGGCAAAGAAGCACGUCCUAGUGUCUGAAAAGGCUGGAUCGGAUGGACUUCAAGCGGGAGAUGGAAAACAGGCUUCUAAAGCAGCUCGUGCUUCAAGCAGCUAAAGCAUUCAUCUCGAAGUUAAGGACCUUUAAAAUUUUUAACUGUUUUAAGGAUCUUAGCAUAUUCGUUGGGGA